RNAcentral lists this ribosomal RNA (279 nucleotides) under uncultured bacterium. RNAcentral describes it as "partial 16S ribosomal RNA". It matches the Rfam family "Bacterial small subunit ribosomal RNA", at positions 491 to 769 of the family's 1533-position model. The record is from RNAcentral.
CACCGGCUAACUCCGUGCCAGCAGCCGCGGUAAUACGGAGGGUGCGAGCGUUAAUCGGAAUUACUGGGCGUAAAGCGCAUGCAGGCGGUCUGUUAAGCAAGAUGUGAAAGCCCGGGGCUCAACCUCGGAACAGCAUUUUGAACUGGCAGACUAGAGUCUUGUAGAGGGGGGUAGAAUUUCAGGUGUAGCGGUGAAAUGCGUAGAGAUCUGAAGGAAUACCGGUGGCGAAGGCGGCCCCCUGGACAAAGACUGACGCUCAGAUGCGAAAGCGUGGGGAGC